This 71-nucleotide transfer RNA is filed under the name archaeon. Its description in RNAcentral is "tRNA-Gly". It matches the Rfam family "tRNA". Rfam says of the family: Transfer RNA (tRNA) molecules are approximately 80 nucleotides in length. Their secondary structure includes four short double-helical elements and three loops (D, anti-codon, and T loops). The record is from RNAcentral.
GCGCCAAUAGUCUAGUGGUAAGAUUUGAGCUUCCCAAGCUCGCGGCCCGGGUUCGAUUCCCGGUUGGCGCA